ACCCAGACUCCUACGGGAGGCAGCAGUGGGGGAUAUUGCACAAUGGGGGAACCCUGAUGCAGCGACGCCGCGUGGGUGAAGGAGUAUUUCGGUAUGUAAAGCCCUAUCGGCAGGGAAGAGGCAAGACGGUACCUGACUAAGAAGCCCCGGCUAACUACGUGCCAGCAGCCGCGGUAAUACGUAGGGGGCGAGCGUUAUCCGGAUUCACUGGGUGUAAAGGGAGCGUAGACGGCCAAGCAAGCCAGGGGUGAAAGCCCGGGGCCCAACCCCGGGACUGCCCUUGGAACUGCUUGGCUGGAGUGCGGGAGGGGCAGGCGGAAUUCCUGGUGUAGCGGUGAAAUGCGUAGAUAUCAGGAGGAACACCGGCGGCGAAGGCGGCCUGCUGGACCGCUACUGACGUUGAGGCUCGAAAGCGUGGGGAGCGAACAGGAUUAGAUACCCGUGUAC
Molecule: ribosomal RNA, 447 nt
Filed under: uncultured bacterium
Lineage: Bacteria
Description: partial 16S ribosomal RNA
Rfam family: Bacterial small subunit ribosomal RNA
Source: RNAcentral